AUACGUAGGGUGCAAGCGUUAAUCGGAAUUACUGGGCGUAAAGCGUGCGCAGGCGGUUUUGUAAGACAGAGGUGAAAUCCCCGGGCUCAACCUGGGAAAUGCCUUUGUGACUGCAAGGCUAGAGUAAGGCAGAGGGGGAUGGAAUUCCGCGUGUAGCAGUGAAAUGCGUAGAUAUGCGGAGGAACACCGAUGGCGAAGGCAAUCCCCUGGGCCUGUACUGACUCUCAUGCACGAAAGCUUGGGGAGCAAACAGGAUUAGAUCCCCUAGUAGUCCACUCCCUAAACGAGGUCAACUGGUUGUUGAGUCUUCAUGGACUCAGUAACGAAGCUAACGCGUGAAGUUGACCGCCUGGGGAGUACGGCCGCAAGGUGGAAACGCAAAGGAAUUGACGGGU
Molecule: ribosomal RNA, 395 nt
Filed under: uncultured bacterium
Lineage: Bacteria
Description: partial 16S ribosomal RNA
Rfam family: Bacterial small subunit ribosomal RNA
Source: RNAcentral